UCCUACGGGAGGCAGCAGUGGGGAAUAUUGGACAAUGGGCGCAAGCCUGAUCCAGCCAUGCCGCGUGUGUGAAGAAGGCCUUAUGGUUGUAAAGCACUUUAAGCGAGGAGGAGGCUACUUUAGUUAAUACCUAGAGAUAGUGGACGUUACUCGCAGAAUAAGCACCGGCUAACUCUGUGCCAGCAGCCGCGGUAAUACAGAGGGUGCAAGCGUUAAUCGGAUUUACUGGGCGUAAAGCGCGCGUAGGCGGCUAAUUAAGUCAAAUGUGAAAUCCCCGAGCUUAACUUGGGAAUUGCAUUCGAUACUGGUUAGCUAGAGUGUGGGAGAGGAUGGUAGAAUUCCAGGUGUAGCGGUGAAAUGCGUAGAGAUCUGGAGAAAUACCGAUGGCGAAGGCAGCCAUCUGGCCUAACACUGACGUGAAGUGCGAAAGCAUGGGGAGCAAACAGGAUUAGAUACCCUGGUAGUCCAUGCCGUAAACGAUGUCUACUAGCCGUUGGGGCCUUUGAGGCUUUAGUGGCGCAGCUAACGCGAUAAGUAGACCGCCUGGGGAGGACUGUCGCAAGACUAAAACUCAAAUGAAUUGACGGGG
RNAcentral lists this ribosomal RNA (589 nucleotides) under uncultured Acinetobacter sp. RNAcentral's name for it is "bacterial SSU rRNA". It matches the Rfam family "Bacterial small subunit ribosomal RNA", at positions 337 to 918 of the family's 1533-position model. Lineage: Bacteria; Pseudomonadati; Pseudomonadota; Gammaproteobacteria; Moraxellales; Moraxellaceae. The record is from RNAcentral.